Molecule: ribosomal RNA, 910 nt
Filed under: Cainia anthoxanthis
Lineage: Eukaryota; Fungi; Ascomycota; Sordariomycetes; Xylariales; Cainiaceae
Description: eukaryotic LSU rRNA
Rfam family: Eukaryotic large subunit ribosomal RNA
Source: RNAcentral
UGUGUCCCCGCGCGUGACUUAAGCAUAUCAAUAAGCGGAGGAAAAGAAACCAACAGGGAUUGCCCUAGUAACGGCGAGUGAAGCGGCAACAGCUCAAAUUUGAAAUCUGGCUCUCGGGCCCGAGUUGUAAUUUGUAGAGGAUGCUUCUGGCGCGGUGCCUUCCGAGUUCCCUGGAACGGGACGCCUUAGAGGGUGAGAGCCCCGUACGGUCGGACACCAAGCCUAUGUGAAGCUCCUUCGACGAGUCGAGUAGUUUGGGAAUGCUGCUCUAAAUGGGAGGUAAAUUUCUUCUAAAGCUAAAUAUUGGCCAGAGACCGAUAGCGCACAAGUAGAGUGAUCGAAAGAUGAAAAGCACUUUGAAAAGAGGGUUAAACAGCACGUGAAAUUGUUGAAAGGGAAGCGUUUGCGACCAGACUUUUUCCCGGCGGAUCAUCCGGCGUUCUCGCCGGUGCACUUCGCCGGGUCAAGGCCAGCAUCGGUUUCCGGAGGGGGACAAAAGCUUUGGGAACGUGGCUCCUUCGGGAGUGUUAUAGCCCUUUGCAUAAUGCCCCUCUGGGGACCGAGGUUCGCGCAUCUGCAAGGAUGCUGGCGUAAUGGUCGUCAACGACCCGUCUUGAAACACGGACCAAGGAGUCGAACAUUUGUGCAAGUGUUAGGGUGUCAAACCCCUGCGCGUAAUGAAAGUGAACGGAGGUGAGAGCCCUUACGGGUGCAUCAUCGACCGAUCCUGAUGUUUUCGGAUGGAUUUGAGUAAGAGCAUAACUGUUCGGACCCGAAAGAUGGUGAACUAUGCGUGGGUAGGGUGAAGCCAGAGGAAACUCUGGUGGAGGCUCGCAGCGGUUCUGACGUGCAAAUCGAUCGUCAAACCUGCGCAUGGGGGCGAAAGACUUAUCGAACCAUUUAAACGGGC